Molecule: ribosomal RNA, 155 nt
Filed under: Lacticaseibacillus rhamnosus
Lineage: Bacteria; Bacillati; Bacillota; Bacilli; Lactobacillales; Lactobacillaceae
Description: Lactobacillus rhamnosus partial 16S ribosomal RNA
Source: RNAcentral
CCCACAUUAUGGCAGGUUACCCACGUGUUACUCACCCGUCCGCCACUCGUUCAAAAUUAAAUCAAGAUGCAAGCACCUUUCAAUAAUCAGAACUCGUUCGACUUGCAUGUAUUAGGCACGCCGCCAGCGUUCAUCCUGAGCCAUGAUCAAACUCU